Molecule: ribosomal RNA, 253 nt
Filed under: uncultured bacterium
Lineage: Bacteria
Description: partial 16S ribosomal RNA
Rfam family: Bacterial small subunit ribosomal RNA
Source: RNAcentral
UACAGAGGUCCCAAGCGUUGUUCGGAUUCACUGGGCGUAAAGGGUGCGUAGGCGGUUGGGUAAGUCUGAUGUGAAAUCUCACAGCUUAACUGUGAAACUGCAUUGGAUACUAUCCAGCUCGAGGAAUGGAGGGGAGACUGGAAUACUUGGUGUAGCAGUGAAAUGCGUAGAUAUCAAGUGGAACACCAGUGGCGAAGGCGAGUCUCUGGACAUUUCCUGACGCUGAGGCACGAAAGCCAGGGGAGCAAACGGG